This 939-nucleotide long non-coding RNA is filed under the name Mytilus galloprovincialis (Mediterranean mussel). Lineage: Eukaryota; Metazoa; Mollusca; Bivalvia; Mytilida; Mytilidae. The record is from RNAcentral.
AUUUUAUUAAAUUUUUGGUAGAACAUUUUAUUGCAUAAAAACAACAAAUUUAUCAUGUUUAUUACACCCAAUAAUAGUAAAUUUUCAUCAUUCAAAUAUAAUGAAUAUCAUAAAAAUAAUAAAUUGUGUUUUAAUAAAAUUAAAUCCCCUGAAUCUCUAUAUGUAUUACAUCAAGAAAAUGGUAUGUAAAACAUUACAAAUCAUCAACUCUACAAGGUGGAAGCUAAGCAAUACUCUUAUCAACAAUGUUUUGUUUUUAAAUUCCAAGUUGUUCUUUCCCUGGUAUUCAUAAAGCUAUGUUUAAAAAAAAUCCUCAAUAUAUAUAUAUUGUCCAUAACCAGACUCCAGAGGAACAAUAUGUACAGUAAAUAACUCUUGAUAUGAUUGACCAUGUUGACUUAAACAUGUUUUUUUUUACAUUAAUUCUAGAACAAGCUAAUCCACAUUGAAUAAAUCUAUUUUAAACUUAUUUAAGCUUUUCAUUAACGACCUGCCUCCAAAAUUUGAGCCAAGUCCAGAUGCUGUUGAUAUCAAUGGGCGUAGAAUUGAUUGUCUUAUGUAUGCUGAUGACAUUAUUGUAUUAUCAAACACUAAAAAGUCUUUCAAAACCGACUUGAUAUAUUGCAUAUUAUUGUAUUGACUGGUGUCUAGAUGUAAAUUUGUCCAAAACAAAAGUUUUUUUUAACAAGCCUGGAAAAUUUUGAAGGAAUCAUUUUCUUUAGAUAAGAGGCUUAGAAUGUGUUAAUAAAUGUAAAUAUCUAAGGAUAGUCUUUACCUCUAGUGGUCUUUUUCAACAGGGAAAGAAGAGCUAUUUCAAAAAAUCCUUAAAGGCAAAAUUCAAAUUACAAAAAUCCAUGUAGCUUGUAAUCAAGUAUUGAUACUGAAUUCAUUUAUAUGAUCACCAAUAAAACCAAUUUGUAUAUUGUAGUGAAAUUUGGG